Molecule: long non-coding RNA, 552 nt
Organism: Peromyscus eremicus (cactus mouse)
Lineage: Eukaryota; Metazoa; Chordata; Mammalia; Rodentia; Cricetidae
Exons: 2
Source: RefSeq, a predicted model, not a curated record
AGAAAGUGAUGCUUAGCCAGAUGGAUAGAGGCUAUCUGGAUUCUGCAGAAAAAUCCUCCUGAAUUCUGUUCCCACAUUGAUUAGAUGAUGACAUUUUCCAGAGCCCCAAGAAGCAAUUCCAGUCAGAAGCACCUUACAUACCCCAGAGUAAGAACAUGAGUGGGAUGCGGAACCAGGUGCAGUGUUUGCAUUUAGCAACAGACCUCAGAAGUGUCACCAGUUUCCAGUGACCACAUAGCUCCAUCCUGCUGUGGCCAGGGUCAGUAGCUUCUGGAGCUAACACUGGGAUAUCAGUCAUCAUCACUGUUACUGUGCUUGACAGUCUCCCUGAACAUAAAUGCAAGAGAAGACAGUCUACUAGGAAGACUCACGGAAAAAGAAAGGAAGAAAAGCUGCAAACAUCAGGACACACACACACACACACACACACACACACACACUCACAUAUGCAAAACAACAUGAGACAAAAACCUAAUAAAUAAACUGAUAGUUUCUCCAAACCAGAAAACAAACAUGAGAUGCUGAAAUACAAGGAAAAUUUUGAGUUCUUUA